Molecule: ribosomal RNA, 717 nt
Filed under: uncultured bacterium
Lineage: Bacteria
Description: bacterial SSU rRNA
Rfam family: Bacterial small subunit ribosomal RNA
Source: RNAcentral
GCGCUUUMCAUGCAAGUCGAACGGCAGCGCGGGGCAACCUGGCGGCGAGUGGCGAACGGGUGAGUUAAUAUAUCGGAACGUACCCAAGAGUGGGGGAUAACGUAGCGAAAGUUACGCUAAUACCGCAUACGAUCUAUGGAUGAAAGCGGGGGAUCGCAAGACCUCGCGCGAUUGGAGCGGCCGAUAUCAGAUUAGGUAGUUGGUGGGGUAAAGGCUCACCAAGCCGACGAUCUGUAGCUGGUCUGAGAGGACGACCAGCCACACUGGGACUGAGACACGGCCCAGACUCCUACGGGAGGCAGCAGUGGGGAAUUUUGGACAAUGGGCGAAAGCCUGAUCCAGCCAUGCCGCGUGCAGGAUGAAGGCCUUCGGGUUGUAAACUGCUUUUGUACGGAACGAAAAGGUUUGGCCUAAUAAGCUGAGCUCAUGACGGUACCGUAAGAAUAAGCACCGGCUAACUACGUGCCAGCAGCCGCGGUAAUACGUAGGGUGCGAGCGUUAAUCGGAAUUACUGGGCGUAAAGCGUGCGCAGGCGGUUAUGUAAGACAGAUGUGAAAUCCCCGGGCUCAACCUGGGAACUGCAUUAGUGACUGCAUAGCUGGAGUACGGCAGAGGGGGAUGGAAUUCCGCGUGUAGCAGUGAAAUGCGUAGAUAUGCGGAGGAACACCGAUGGCGAAGGCAAUCCCCUGGGCCUGUACUGACGCUCAUGCACNAAGC